AUUAAAUAAUUGACUUAGAAAGUUUAAAUGGUUCAGUAUCUUAUUAUAUUUGAAUAUUCGGGAUUUCAGUUGAUUUUGGGAAUGUAAUAAAGAAUUUAUGAAGUUUCGUGAAAUAGAAAUGGUUUUCUACCCCUCGUGGUAGCGUGUUUUAAAAAGAAAGAGUUUUCGUGUGUGAAACAGUUUUAAAAUGUUUUCUCGUGGUUUUUGUAACUUAGUAUUUCAAAACCAGUUUCUGAGUAAGAAAUAUUUUAACUAAUAGUUGUGGUUUUAUGAUUAGACUCUGAAUGCGAAUCUGUUAUGAAUGGUGUAUGAAUGUAUAAAUGUAUGAAUGUUUGUAUAUUCAGUUGUGGUGGUUGUAUACUGUUUAUGUAUCUUGUACUUGUGUAACGCCGUGCAAAUACAGGGGAGACUCUGUUCAUGUGAACAGUGG
Molecule: long non-coding RNA, 430 nt
Filed under: Ananas comosus (pineapple)
Lineage: Eukaryota; Viridiplantae; Streptophyta; Magnoliopsida; Poales; Bromeliaceae
Description: long non-coding RNA (ACOM_LNC030388)
Source: RNAcentral